RNAcentral lists this long non-coding RNA (317 nucleotides) under Callithrix jacchus (white-tufted-ear marmoset). RNAcentral's name for it is "lncRNA (ENSCJAG00000062473.2)". Lineage: Eukaryota; Metazoa; Chordata; Mammalia; Primates; Cebidae. The record is from RNAcentral.
AUGCCAUGGAGAGUGUUCCCAGAAAGGCACGAAAGACAGUUGGUGUCAGGAGCUGAACCUGCCUGCUUUCUGAAGACUUCUGUGACAACAAGGCACAUUUGCAGAAGUGCAUUCCAUUUCAAAGUAUCUGGGAUCUUAGUGUGGCUGCAAAGACACAAUACAAGGUAGGAGUCUCUAACUGUACUCGACAAGAAAAUAGUGUCCUCAGAAUCAGACUCACGGACAGAUGGGUGGGGACGAGAUACAAAACACAUCUUCACAAUCUGGAGCAAUGACAUUUAAUAAAGUGAUUAGGCAGUGACAUUAAAUAAGUUCUC